CCUACGGGAGGCAGCAGUGGGGAAUAUUGCACAAUGGGGGAAACCCUGAUGCUGCGACGCCGCGUGAGCGAAGAAGUAUUUCGGUAUGUAAAGCUCUAUCAGCAGGGAAGAAAAUGACGGUACCUGAGUAAGAAGCUCCGGCUAAAUACGUGCCAGCAGCCGCGGCAAUACGUAUGGAGCAAGCGUUAUCCGGAUUUACUGGGUGUAAAGGGAGCGCAGGCGGCCUGCCAAGUCUGGUGUGAAAAGCCGGGGCCCAACCCCGGGCCUGCAUUGGAAACUGGCGGGCUGGAGUGUCGGAGGGGCAGGCGGAAUUCGUAGUGUAGCAGUGAAAUGCGUAGAUAUUAGGAGGAACACCGGUGGCGAAGGCGGCCUGCUGGACGAUGACUGACGCUGAGGCACGAAAGCGUGGGGAGCGAAAAGGAUUAGAUACCCGGGUAGUC
RNAcentral lists this ribosomal RNA (440 nucleotides) under uncultured bacterium. Its description in RNAcentral is "partial 16S ribosomal RNA". It matches the Rfam family "Bacterial small subunit ribosomal RNA", at positions 338 to 795 of the family's 1533-position model. The record is from RNAcentral.